AGUAAGCUGUGCGGCAGCGCGGUCGUUAUAGGCCGUGAGGAAAGUCCGGGCAUCAUAGAGCAUGGUAGCUGAUAACGUCAGCCGGAGGCGACUCCCGAGAAAGUGCAACAGAAAAUUACCGCCGAUUUUUAUCGGUAAGGGUGGAAAGGUGAGGUAAGAGCUCACCGACGGCGCAGAGAUGUGACCGCCGUGUAAACCUUACCAGAUGCAACUCCAAUGGCAGUGUGUAUGUCAAUGGCUGCUCGUCAGGCAUAGCAUUGUAGGAGGCUAAAGCUUUGCGGCAACGUAAAGCGCAGAUAGAUUGCCGUACACGACAAAACCCGGCUUAUAGGCUUGCUCAU
RNAcentral lists this RNase P RNA (341 nucleotides) under uncultured Ruminococcus sp. RNAcentral's name for it is "Bacterial RNase P class A". It matches the Rfam family "Bacterial RNase P class A". Rfam says of the family: Ribonuclease P (RNase P) is a ubiquitous endoribonuclease, found in archaea, bacteria and eukarya as well as chloroplasts and mitochondria. Its best characterised activity is the generation of mature 5'-ends of tRNAs by cleaving the 5'-leader elements of precursor-tRNAs. The record is from RNAcentral. Lineage: Bacteria; Bacillati; Bacillota; Clostridia; Eubacteriales; Oscillospiraceae.